Small nucleolar RNA from Ochotona princeps (American pika), 88 nucleotides. Its record names the gene SNORA74. It matches the Rfam family "Small nucleolar RNA SNORA74". From Rfam's summary of the family: U19 belongs to the H/ACA class of snoRNAs. snoRNAs bind a number of proteins (including dyskerin, Gar1p and Nop10p in the case of the H/ACA class) to form snoRNP complexes. This class are thought to guide the sites of modification of uridines to pseudouridines by forming direct base pairing interactions with substrate RNAs. Lineage: Eukaryota; Metazoa; Chordata; Mammalia; Lagomorpha; Ochotonidae. The record is from Ensembl.
CCCAGCUGUAGGCAACGGCUUAGGUUGCAUUGUACCUAGGCAAGUAUUACACUGCUGGGAAAAAAGCAGCUAAUAGCUGGUGGGCAUU